This is a long non-coding RNA of Strigops habroptila (Kakapo), 5632 nucleotides long. RefSeq lists it as uncharacterized. The record is from RefSeq and is a predicted model, not a curated record. NCBI's taxonomy places the organism in Eukaryota, Metazoa, Chordata, Aves, Psittaciformes, Psittacidae. The transcript has 3 exons.
GAGAGGUGAGUUUGUUUUAAUUGUAUUUGCAAUGAUUAAGAGGAAGAAAGUCCAAAUCAGUGAUAUAUACACUUGAUACUUUCAAAGGGCCAGUUUCAAAAAGCUGAAAACAAAUAUGAGCCAGAUCAGGCAAGAUCAGACAGAAUUUAAUUAAAAACAUAUGAAUAAUAAUCAUACAUUGUUUAAGAACACUUUAGUAAGUAUUCAGAAAUCCACACUCUCACAUCUCUGGAAGGCCACAGUGGUUGAAACCACAAACUGACUUUGAUAGGAAGUGAAAGCAGCUCCACACACAUAUAUGCAAAAGUUCUUUCAUACGUGUAUGCACAUAUGAGCAAACUGGACAAAAUGUAAAAAAGAAGAUAUUACUAAUAACAAUAAUUCACUGAAUAUUAAUGCUCUAGAAUUAUACAACUGUUAAGACAGGCACAGGUAGAAUUCUUGACCAUCAAACUUAAGUAAAUUAAACUUCUGAAAGUUUGCAUAUUUAUUUUAUUGAAGACAUAAUUUCUCUUUUUCUUUUUUAGGCAGAAGGAUUAAAAAGACAAGGAAGUGGAAAGGCAACUAUAUUUUGCUUUUCACGCAUUUUCCAACUGGAAACUUCAGAAGAUGAUAAACAGCAGCUACUUACGUCAGAAUUUUUUGUGUCAGCAAGUACUGAUAAUUUGUCUACAUUAAGCUGAAGCACUGCAAAAGGAACCCUUAGGAUCCUUGGUGGUGGUUUUCAUUGACUUUAAGAUAACCGAAGAAGUUCUGGAGACUAAAAUCAAACUAACAUUUUGUUAAAAUUUCAGCUAACUUUCAUGAGUAACAAGGAGUCUCUUAGGCUGACAUUAACCCUGGGGCAAAAGAACAGAUGAUGGUUAUUUGUUUAAUAUAAAAUUAGAAGAAAAUGACCAGAAAGAAGUAAAAAAAGCCUAAAUCCUACCUGAACAGUUAAAAAUCAAACCCAAGUUGAAUGUUAGCAGUAAGAUUGCUGCUAUAAUGGACUUUGAUGAAGUAUAUAAUUUGGAACUACUCAACAUUUCAGCGAAGAAGUUACAGUGAUUAACAAAAUCAGCAACUUGUCAUCAAAUGAGUGGGUUAGAACAUGGUUAAGACACAGGGAGGUGUAACAAAAUGAAUAUGUGUUAAUGGGUCAUGCAGGGAUCAGAUUUGCUCUUACACUGUAUAACACCUUUGUCAAUGAUCUGAAAGAACUCACAAAAAUCUUAACUAAGAAAGACAGCAGAUUAUUUUCAUCAAAUAUUGGUGGACCCACAACCUGCAUGGAAAAGAUGUCCAGCAUUGCAGUUCUUCACAUAAAGGGGCAUAAACAGACAAAAUACAUAUCCAUCAGCCAUAUUGGUUAGUUUUUUAAACAUGAGCCCCUACCUUAGUCAGAAGUUCUCAGAUGAUUUUUACUUCGGGUUGAAUCCCUGUUCAGGAGAAGCAAGCAAAAGAGUAAGAGAACAAAUUAAAUGCUUUGACAGAGAAACAAUGAAGAACAUCUACAAAUAUGGGUCCCAUCUGCUGAUUAGGCUCAUCAUCAUCAUAAAACUAGAACAGCUCCAGUUAUCCCAUAUUUACUGUAUGAACUAGUUUAGAUCAGUCACUGAGGAACUGCCUAUCACAGCUGAAAGGUCCUAUUCUUAAAAAUAGGAUGUGCUUUAAGAAUUUUACUUGCAAUUGAGACCAAAGCUGCAUUAAAUUCUGUGGAAAGUGAUCUCAUCUCCAAAUCAAUAUUAAUGCACAGGACAGCAAGCUUCUUAACUGUUUUAUAGAACCAGCCAUUACAUGUUACAUUAAUAAUCAUCAUUAUAUUAUUAUGUUUUCUUCUAGUUGAUGUAGUUAAAAAUCCCAUGCAGGCCUACGGGCAACACACUGUAAAUGUACAAAAAGAAAAAAAUUAUCACUAUUCUCUAGUAAGAUAAAAAUUGGCAGCACAUAAGGGAUGGUUCUCAUUUCUGUACAACUCUGAAAGUAGUAAGAAGGUCAUGAUCAGUAGAAGUACGUCAGGAGCUCAUAAAGAUCAAAAGACAACCAUACCUCUGUCAAAUAUUUUUUCAGUGUCGCAUCUGAUUUUAGAAGAGAUGCAUGCAGUGUUCUAAUGUGGGAUAUCAGCAGAAAGAGUUCGUAGCUGGUAAUAACUCCUGUGUGCACACACAUAUUCCUUCUUCAGAAGAAGUACUUUAAAAGGCACUAAAGCAAAUCAAGGGCUUUGAGAUGUUUUGUGUCAGCUGCAUGCCAGUUUAUCUUGCAACAAGGGACUGGGUGAACCACUUGAGCUGUUUUUGAUCCUUCCACAAUUCUGCUUGUAAUGUCUCCAGAUAAUUUGGUACUAAGAAAAUGUCACAUCAGACACAGAUACAUAGAGCACACACUUUCACAACCGUCUAACCAUAGGUGGAUUGACUAUGUAACUACUUGUAUGGUUAUAAUCACCAGACUAUCGAGCACCUCAGGUACUCAAUGCUGUUGAUUCCCACAGCCUGCCCUAUGAGGUAGGAAAGCUUUACUAGCAUGUGCUCAGACACAGCGUUGUGUUAUUUGAUAAAACAAAUUACUGUCUCAAGGUCACACAGGAAUUCUACAAAGAAGCCACAGAUUUGCUCCAGACACUAACUACACAAAGAUGUCUCUCAGAAAGAUAGUCUAUACUAGCAGAAACUGAACUAGAUCUAGUCAUUUAACAAAGUUAGCAAUUUUAGGUAGAAAUUCUGUUUUUCUAAAUUAAAACAUCCUAACAUGCAACAGAGCAUAGAGUAGAGAUCACACUUCUGAAUUAGCUCUGUGUAAAUAUAUGACUAAUUCAUUCAAGAAUUUUAUAAAUUCAAUCCAAACAUUUUCCUAGCCGCAUCUUCAAAUCAUGCCUUACAAUUUCAGCUUACCAAAAUAAUUUCAAGAGAAUGGGGUGAAUAAGCAGGAGAGAUUCAGCUGCAGCUAUUUCCAUGUUGUCAGGACCCUGUAGCUUGUUUCAGGUCUGGAUUUGGCUCAGAGGUUCCUCAUGUCCUUAUUACCUGGCCAGCAAUAGCUUUUUCUGUUCCAUCUCUAUGCUGGGCAGAAUGGGUACAUGGGAGAGAAAACAAAGGGAUUUCUGGAAUGACUAAGCCUGCAACAAAGAUUUAAAAAAGAAAUAAUAUACCUGCUAUUGCGCUAACUGAUGUCUUUGGGCUUAGCAGCGCCUCUUUGAAUUUUGAAUGUGUUACACAUGAUAGGUAUCUUUAACUGCUGGCUUAUCUCUCACAGUGAAUAUUUUUCUAAUAUGCUUGACCAUAUCUGAUAUUUCAGUACAGUAGUUCAUGUAAGUUGGCCUUAGAGAAGCUACAGGUUAAAAAUUAUUUGGUUUUCUAACACAGACUUUCAGUGGUCUUUUCUGGGCUCAUUUCUGUGUGCCUUGUGAGUUGGUGAUAUCUCAUGGUUUUGCUUUUCCUGUGUUUGUAUUUCGAAAAAAGUGCUUCAGGUUUCAAGGCAAUAAUGCAUGGGAUGACUUACUUUACAAUAACUGCUAAGAGCCUUGGUUGUUGCCCCAAAAAGUUAUGCUAAAAUGCACUAAAUUUGUAUAGUACCAGCGUCGGCUGUAAAAAGAGUAAGUGUUACCUUUUCCUAGUUUCCUUAACUCAGAAGCCUUAAUUCACUUUUUUGUCUAACUAGUCAGAUUUAGUUCACAAUCUUCUGGCUUUUUAUUUACAGUCAUUGUCACAGGAAAAUCAAAAUUUCUCAUUAGUUAGGAUAUUAAGAUGAUAGUACUAAUGAAUUACAAUGUUCCAAUCACAAAUAAAUUCUAGGAAGACAUGGGAAAAAAGAAUCCUUUAACUUAGAUGUCAGGACUUUUAAAAGUAAAGGUUACUUAAAACUAAAUUCUUUUUUGCCUCAAAAGUAACAGCUUUUGCUUUUAUAUUUAUAGUUUCUUAUUUCUAAAGUGUUUUUAUUUCAUUCACGCUCUUUUGCUUUGUACUGUAGUAAAAAGUACAUGUUUUUCCAUACACUGAAACACUGUUUUUAAAUAUAUUACACUGCUUAAAUCCUCAGAGGCUUCACAGCUUUUGCUGUACCGACAUAUGCAGGCUUGAAACACUAAAAAUAAAAGGAAUUUCAAUUAAAGUGGGAGAGUUUUGAAAGUUUUAUAAUUUAUGAUUGCCUGGAUGCAUUUUCAGUAUCAAAACUGCCUUCAGAAUAUCUUACUUUCUAGGAAAGUCAUAACGCACUGCUUCACAUUGAGUUUGUUCUCAAAACGAAGCUCAUUUGCAUUUUGCACCACAGGGAGUUACUUGUAAACUUCCACACAGCAAGGUGUGAACAGAGUAGUGAUAACAAACCAUGAAUUAUACAAAGAUGUAAUUCAAUUCAUAGAAUCACCUCAAAGCCUAAGCACUUAUCAGGUUCUUAUAUUUGCACAAAACUUCCUGGAUCAUUAAAAAAUAGGCUAUGCAAUUCAUUUGUUUUAUCAACACCUUUGAAUUUCAGAGAUGGGUUGAAGUAGCAUGAAAACUAACUAGCCUUUGCCUGUGAAGAUGUGGUAAGGGAGAGGGCUAGGAGACCUCACAUUCAGUCAGACUUCAAAGUGUCGAUCUCCUCUCUCUGGCGACCAGCGAUAGGACACAAGGAAAUGGAAUGAAGUUGCAUCAGGGGAAGAUCAUAUUGGACAAGGUUCUUCACUGAGAAGUUGCUUGGUCACUGGAAGAGGUUCCUCAGCCCUGACAACCUCCAUUCCCUUCCAUUAUGACUGUAAUUUCUUGCUGUAACUGAAAUGUAAGACACAAGUGAGAGGAGAUGACUACCAUUCUCAUAUCUUUCUUCAGAUGCAGGGUACGCACAGUGGCCCAGCUUCAGCUGGAGGCUGAGAACACUUUUGUCCAGGGAAUUGCACAGCCAGCUGAUGGCAGUACUCACCUGACAAGAACUUCAAACCUACUCAAGUUGAAGAGGACAUGGAUGUCAAAUGACCCACUUCCAUAGCAAAGACAUUGACCAUUAGACUAAUAAGCAAAAGGCCACAUCCUGAUAUUUCUUAAAAUGAAGACAUUCUAGGAGUACUUUCAGGUUCAACAUCAUAAGUUCAGAGAUACCUGAAGUGAGUACCCUUCCCUUUGACAAUUUCUGUUGGCUGGUUGAUUUGUUCUGGCACUCAACACAAAGUCUGUUGUGAGUUCCUAUGUGGAGCUUUGCUUUCUUUAACUUACUUGUACAGACCCAAUGUGACCAUGUUAACCCUACGAGUUCAGAGCUGGGCACAUAGGUCAUAGGCACCAUAAUACCCCAUAAACCAUUACACUAAAUGCUUAAAUCUUUGUAGUAAAAAUGAAGGAAUAUAGUUGCUCAGAUUAAGGUUCAAUUCAUCUUGCUACCAACUUUCAGAAGCAUUUCCCUAUUUUACCCCAUUCUUGCAUGGUAAAUGAGAUUUACAAGUCCUGCCUAUUCUGCAGCAUGUUCUGUUCCGAUUGACAAUAGCGGAUAGAUACAAAAAAAUGUAUGCCAGUCUGCCUAUCUCAUACUUCCUUUGUUGUCACAAAUACCAUACUUUGUGCAUAAUUUCCAAUUGACUCACCAUGAAACAGUUUAGAAAUAAGAAUGUUGCCAAUUUUAAUGUUAUUUGCAUGUGACAUAAGAUUUUUUUUGAGUUUUGGUUUUAUUAAUAAAAUAUUCAAUGCAG